UCCCUGGUGGCGCAGAUGGUAAAGCGUCUGUCUACAAUGCAGGAGACCCAGGUUCAAUCCCUGGGUUGGGAA
Molecule: transfer RNA, 72 nt
Filed under: Ovis aries (sheep)
Lineage: Eukaryota; Metazoa; Chordata; Mammalia; Artiodactyla; Bovidae
Rfam family: tRNA
About the family: Transfer RNA (tRNA) molecules are approximately 80 nucleotides in length. Their secondary structure includes four short double-helical elements and three loops (D, anti-codon, and T loops).
Source: Rfam by way of RNAcentral